GAGGUACUCUUUCCGUCCGGAAAUACUUGUCAUCAAAGUAGACAAAAAGGAAUGUAUCUAGAACUAAAAUACAUCUAGAUACAUUUCUUUUUAUUCAUUUUAAUGACAAGUAUUUCCGGACGGAGGGAGUAUGUA
This is a non-coding RNA of Triticum aestivum (bread wheat), 135 nucleotides long. The record is from Rfam. Lineage: Eukaryota; Viridiplantae; Streptophyta; Magnoliopsida; Poales; Poaceae.